Molecule: unclassified non-coding RNA, 497 nt
Filed under: Stenotrophomonas maltophilia
Lineage: Bacteria; Pseudomonadati; Pseudomonadota; Gammaproteobacteria; Lysobacterales; Lysobacteraceae
Rfam family: tRNA (bases 195-268)
Source: RNAcentral
UGAGCAAAGACAACAUCGUCCUGUCGGGCGUCUUCACAAAGUACCUGCAUUCAGAGAAUCGCAUCGGCCAGGCCGAUGUGAGUGUCCCUUUUGGGGCCUUAGCUCAGCUGGGAGAGCACCUGCUUUGCAAGCAGGGGGUCGUCGGUUCGAUCCCGACAGGCUCCACCAUCUAAGCUGUACCGGAAGAGUCUUCCGGGUCUGUAGCUCAGGUGGUUAGAGCGCACCCCUGAUAAGGGUGAGGUCGGUAGUUCGAGUCUACCCAGACCCACCAUUCUCUGAAUGACGCAUACAAUCGAUCUUUAUACGCAUCGGCACUGUGGCCGGUACGUGUUCUUUUAAAACUUGUGACGUAGCGAGCGUUUGAGAUACAUCUAUCAGACGUGUCGUGAGGCUAAGGCGGGAAUCGGAAGAUUCCUUAUUAAUUGAGUCGUUAUAUUCGUAUCUGGGCUUUGUACCCCCAGGUCAAAUAUAUAACCCAAGGCAACUUGCGGUUAUAU